GUGUGUGACUGUCUGUCUGUGUGUGACUCCAAUUGUAUGUGUCGCUGUAGUUGUGCCGUUGUGUGUGCCUGUAUGUGUGACUAUCUGCCUUUAACGGAGUGUGUGUGUGACUAUCAGCGUGCAUGACUGUCUGCAUGCCUGUAACAGAGUUUGUGUGACUGUCUGCUUGUGACUGUGUGCCUGUAACUGUUUAUGAUUGUGUGCCUGUAACUGUGUGUGAC
Molecule: non-coding RNA, 221 nt
Organism: Pelobates cultripes (western spadefoot toad)
Lineage: Eukaryota; Metazoa; Chordata; Amphibia; Anura; Pelobatidae
Source: the annotation of a GenBank genome assembly